Long non-coding RNA from Mytilus californianus (California mussel), 1066 nucleotides. RefSeq lists it as uncharacterized. Lineage: Eukaryota; Metazoa; Mollusca; Bivalvia; Mytilida; Mytilidae. The transcript has 2 exons. The record is from RefSeq and is a predicted model, not a curated record.
CAACUAUAUUUGGUGUAUGGAAAUAUUUUAUGAUGUACAUGUCAGUCUCGUAGGUUUUAUUUGACCUUGACCUCAUUUUCACGAUUCAUUUCUCAGUGUUAAGUUUUUAAACAACCGCAAAAAAAUUUUUGUGGUCGUAUAUUGGCAUGACGUUGUUGUCGUCGUCAUCGUCGUCCGAAGACACAUUAGUUUUCGCACUCUAACUUAAGUUUAAGUGAAUGGAUCUCAAUGAAGUUUUACCAUAAGGUUAAAUACCACUAAAGAAAGGUGGGGAUUGAAUUUGGGGGUUAUGGUACCAACAGUUAAGGAAUUAGGUGCCAAAAAGGGGCCAAAAAUAAGCAUUUUUGUAACUUCCAGACGUAACUUGUGUGUAAGUGUAUGGAUCUCUCUGACAUUGUACCACAAGGUUCCAUAUCACAAAGGGAAUGCUGGGAUUGAUUUUGGGGGUAAUUGCCUCCAAAUUUUAGGAAUUAGGGGCCAAAAAGGGGCAAAAAACAAGCAUUUUUCUAGUUUCAUGACAAUAACUUGUGUGUAAGUCUAUGGAUCUCUCUGACAUUGUAUCACAUGGUUCCAUAUCACAAAGGGAAUGCUGGGAUUGAUUUUGGGGGUAAUUGCCUCAAAAUUUUAGGAAUUAGGGGCCAAAAAGGGGCAAAAAACAUGCAUUUUUCUAGUUUCAUGACAAUAACUUGUGUGUAAGUGUAUGGAUCUUUAUGAAAUUGUACUACAAGGUUCCAUUUCACAAAGGGAAAGCUGGGUUUGAGUUUGGGGGUAAUUGCCCUAAACGUUUAGGAAUUUGGGGCCAAAAUGGGGCCAAAAAACAAGCAUUUUUCUUGUUUCCAGACAAUAACUUGUGUUCAAGUGUAUGGAUCUCUCUGAAAUUGUACUGCAAGGUACCAUACCACAAAGGGAAGGCUGGGAUUGAGUUUGGGGGUGAUGAAUCAUAAGGGGGUUCAAAAAAUUUGGGGGGGGGGAUUUUUUUCCCCUUUUUUUUCUUUAAAAUUUUCCAUUUUAAAUUGGUUAUUUCUGAUUUAUAUAUAAAAGCAAAUAAUAAUAAUAUGGUUUGAAU